UUGAAGAGUUUGAUCAUGGCUCAGAUUGAACGCUGGCGGCAGGCCUAACACAUGCAAGUCGAGCGGUAGCACAGAGAGCUUGCUCUCGGGUGACGAGCGGCGGACGGGUGAGUAAUGUCUGGGAAACUGCCUGAUGGAGGGGGAUAACUACUGGAAACGGUAGCUAAUACCGCAUAACGUCGCAAGACCAAAGUGGGGGACCUUCGGGCCUCAUGCCAUCAGAUGUGCCCAGAUGGGAUUAGCUAGUAGGUGGGGUAACGGCUCACCUAGGCGACGAUCCCUAGCUGGUCUGAGAGGAUGACCAGCCACACUGGAACUGAGACACGGUCCAGACUCCUACGGGAGGCAGCAGUGGGGAAUAUUGCACAAUGGGCGCAAGCCUGAUGCAGCCAUGCCGCGUGUGUGAAGAAGGCCUUCGGGUUGUAAAGCACUUUCAGCGGGGAGGAAGGCGAUAAGGUUAAUAACCUUGUCGAUUGACGUUACCCGCAGAAGAAGCACCGGCUAACUCCGUGCCAGCAGCCGCGGUAAUACGGAGGGUGCAAGCGUUAAUCGGAAUUACUGGGCGUAAAGCGCACGCAGGCGGUCUGUCAAGUCGGAUGUGAAAUCCCCGGGCUCAACCUGGGAACUGCAUUCGAAACUGGCAGGCUAGAGUCUUGUAGAGGGGGGUAGAAUUCCAGGUGUAGCGGUGAAAUGCGUAGAGAUCUGGAGGAAUACCGGUGGCGAAGGCGGCCCCCUGGACAAAGACUGACGCUCAGGUGCGAAAGCGUGGGGAGCAAACAGGAUUAGAUACCCUGGUAGUCCACGCUGUAAACGAUGUCGAUUUGGAGGUUGUGCCCUUGAGGCGUGGCUUCCGGAGCUAACGCGUUAAAUCGACCGCCUGGGGAGUACGGCCGCAAGGUUAAAACUCAAAUGAAUUGACGGGGGCCCGCACAAGCGGUGGAGCAUGUGGUUUAAUUCGAUGCAACGCGAAGAACCUUACCUGGUCUUGACAUCCACAGAACUUUCCAGAGAUGGAUUGGUGCCUUCGGGAACUGUGAGACAGGUGCUGCAUGGCUGUCGUCAGCUCGUGUUGUGAAAUGUUGGGUUAAGUCCCGCAACGAGCGCAACCCUUAUCCUUUGUUGCCAGCGGUUAGGCCGGGAACUCAAAGGAGACUGCCAGUGAUAAACUGGAGGAAGGUGGGGAUGACGUCAAGUCAUCAUGGCCCUUACGACCAGGGCUACACACGUGCUACAAUGGCAUAUACAAAGAGAAGCGACCUCGCGAGAGCAAGCGGACCUCAUAAAGUAUGUCGUAGUCCGGAUUGGAGUCUGCAACUCGACUCCAUGAAGUCGGAAUCGCUAGUAAUCGUAGAUCAGAAUGCUACGGUGAAUACGUUCCCGGGCCUUGUACACACCGCCCGUCACACCAUGGGAGUGGGUUGCAAAAGAAGUAGGUAGCUUAACCUUCGGGAGGGCGCUUACCACUUUGUGAUUCAUGACUGGGGUGAAGUCGUAACAAGGUAACCGUAGGGGAACCUGCGGUUGGAUCACCUCCUU
This 1536-nucleotide ribosomal RNA is filed under the name Klebsiella variicola. RNAcentral describes it as "bacterial SSU rRNA". It matches the Rfam family "Bacterial small subunit ribosomal RNA". Lineage: Bacteria; Pseudomonadati; Pseudomonadota; Gammaproteobacteria; Enterobacterales; Enterobacteriaceae. The record is from RNAcentral.